Pseudoliparis swirei is the source of this 1724-nucleotide long non-coding RNA. RefSeq lists it as uncharacterized. The transcript has 2 exons. Lineage: Eukaryota; Metazoa; Chordata; Actinopteri; Perciformes; Liparidae. The record is from RefSeq and is a predicted model, not a curated record.
UGGGAAAGUGAAAACGGAAUUAAAGAAUGGAUAGAACGUGUGGCUGGGGAUGAUACCAAAGCUUUUUGUCGGUACUGCAAAAUCGAGAUUCGUGCGCACCACAGUGAUCUCCAAAACCACAGCAAAACGGGGAAACACAUUCGAAAUGCUGCUCCGUUCUCCAGUUGUCGAGCAGGGAGGAAGAGAGAAAAGGGAAGAGAAAGCCUCAAGACAAAGCAACAGGUUAGUUUGUCCGUCAGUGAAUUGGUCUACACCUUCACAGAGCUAUAUUUUAUUUAUGAUAAUAUACUGUAUCUAAUUACACAAGGCCAUUUUAGGACCUAGGUGAAAUAACUGUUUCGGGAAAACUGCUUUUAAUGCUGGCAUACUAACCAUUUGUUGUUACUUUGUAGAUAUUACAAUACAUUUGGAAAUGAUAGCAAUGUUGUUGGACUUUAAAAGCAGUGUAUAUGGUUUGGCACAGGCAUAUUUUGAGUUCUGAUAUUGGGCUUGUUUUUUGGGCUUGUUUUAUUGGCCAUUGGGCUGGUUUGGGCUGGUUUUGAUUGGCCAUUGGGCUGGUUUUGUCACACAGACCUGGCAACCCUGGGGAGACGGGAGGAAGGAGGAGCAGGAGGAAACCCAACUGAUUCAUCCACGAGUUAAACUGAUUUCUGCUCCUUAUUUUCGCGGAGAAAUGAUUGUUUUAAAAACGGAAACAGUGUCAAACCGCAGUUUGCCGCGGUUUAAAAAAAAAAAAAAAGCGUUAAUUGCGUUAAAAUAUUUUAGUGCGUUAACGCGGCCAAAUUAAUCGCAUAGAUUAACGCGUUAACGCUGACAGCCCUAAUAUAUAUAUAACAUAUUAUCCACGAAGUAAACAAGAUAAAAGUUGUAAUAAACCAGAAUUCUCAUGUAAAGUAUUAUUUAGAAAGUGUGAAAGCUGUAAAAUGUUUUAAUCCGACAGUUACCGAAUGCACUCUUGGUUUGUCUCCUCAAUAAUUAUUGUCGGAGAAACAAGCAUGAUUUAAAGUGCUCCCUGAGCUGUGGCAUGUUGAUUGAUAUAAAUUUCACAUCAUUAAAAUCUAAUCCUGUGUUCAGGAAAGCCAUGUCAGAUACGCCUCUUUUUAUGUUUAAUAUGUGGAAGCAUCUCAAACACAAUGAAUUUCCCAGCCAUGGAAAGAAAAUGGUUAUAAAAUAGAGUAUCAAUGGGAUAGGCUGGGGUGUAAAUUAAGACGAUGUGAUUGGUGCUGCGACGAGAACGAUGUUGUGGUGAGGCUCUCUGCGGUAAUGCAUGAAAUAAUAGAUUUAUCUCUGUGUGAAGUGGGUGACAUAACAUUUGCAUUUUAUAAUCGUAAAGGGUGGAGGGGAGUAGAGCAGUGGAGAUGGAGGUUUAUGAAUCUGCCAGAGACGCUAUAGUUUCACCAGCCUCGCUGUUAUUAAAAGGAGUUGGCAUGCAUUAAAAAGAUGACAUGCCGAUUGCUGGUGUCUGGGAAAGAAAUAUGUCCAGAUUUUGAUUUUCUUUUACAAACUGCUGUUGUUUUAGAAUAAUACCCUUGCAUUGUGUUUCACAUUUCAGACAGUGAAUGAGCUGAUCCCACGCAAGUUUAUUAAAUUAUUCACAACGUGGGGUUAUUAUCAUUGUUUCAUAAUGUCACAAUAUCUGACAAAAAACUAGCUUUUUCUGGAGGAGGCUGUGACUCUAUUUUUGUGUUGUUUGUCACCUCGGCUGUAAAAGAAAUGGAAAAUCA